UACGAAGGGGGCUAGCGUUGCUCGGAAUCACUGGGCGUAAAGGGUGCGUAGGCGGGUCUUUAAGUCAGGGGUGAAAUCCUGGAGCUCAACUCCAGAACUGCCUUUGAUACUGAGGAUCUUGAGUUCGGGAGAGGUGAGUGGAACUGCGAGUGUAGAGGUGAAAUUCGUAGAUAUUCGCAAGAACACCAGUGGCGAAGGCGGCUCACUGGCCUGUAACUGACGCUGAGGCACGAAAGCGUGGGGAGCAAACAGG
RNAcentral lists this ribosomal RNA (253 nucleotides) under uncultured bacterium. Its description in RNAcentral is "partial 16S ribosomal RNA". It matches the Rfam family "Bacterial small subunit ribosomal RNA", at positions 524 to 776 of the family's 1533-position model. The record is from RNAcentral.